AGUGAACGCUGGCGGUAGGCCUAACACAUGCAAGUCGAACGGCAGCACAGUAAGAGCUUGCUCUUACGGGUGGCGAGUGGCGGACGGGUGAGGAAUACAUCGGAAUCUACUUUUUCGUGGGGGAUAACGUAGGGAAACUUACGCUAAUACCGCAUACGACCUACGGGUGAAAGCAGGGGAUCUUCGGACCUUGCGCGAUUGAAUGAGCCGAUGUCGGAUUAGCUAGUUGGCGGGGUAAAGGCCCACCAAGGCGACGAUCCGUAGCUGGUCUGAGAGGAUGAUCAGCCAAACUGGAACUGGGACACGGUCCAGACUCCUACGGGAGGCAGCGGUGGGGAAUAUUGGACAAUGGGCGCAAGCCUGAUCCAGCCAUACCGCGUGGGUGAAGAAGGCCUUCGGGUUGUAAAGCCCUUUUGUUGGGAAAGAAAAGCAGCAGGUUAAUACCCCGCUGUUCUGACGGUACCCAAAGAAUAAGCACCGGCUAACUUCGU
This 491-nucleotide ribosomal RNA is filed under the name uncultured bacterium. RNAcentral's name for it is "partial 16S ribosomal RNA". It matches the Rfam family "Bacterial small subunit ribosomal RNA", at positions 29 to 506 of the family's 1533-position model. The record is from RNAcentral.